Long non-coding RNA from Vicia villosa (hairy vetch), 562 nucleotides. RefSeq lists it as uncharacterized. The transcript is spliced from 2 exons. Lineage: Eukaryota; Viridiplantae; Streptophyta; Magnoliopsida; Fabales; Fabaceae. The record is from RefSeq and is a predicted model, not a curated record.
UAAAAAUUUAAUGAACCAAUUCUUCCAACUCCUAAAGGCUAAAACUAUUUGAUUGAAGUUAACAACAAAGCAUAAAAUAUUUUCUUAUAAAAUGAUCCGAUAAUAUCCAAUUUAUUACAUGUAAAGAAGAAGAAAAUAUGGCUCGAAUCCUAAGUUCAUUUGCUUUGAUCAUGUUUGUUUUUUUAUUUCUUGUUGCAUUCAUCAAUAACAUUGCAGCUAUUCCCUGCCUUUUGAGCCAUGACUGUCCAGGAGAUUUGUGUCUUCCACAUCUUACUCCAAAGUGCAUUAAUCUUUUUUGUCAAUGCUAUUUAGAGAUUGACGACUAAGUUUCAUAAUAAGUAUAUGUUAUUUCCAAUAUUAUAAUUUUAUUUGUGAGUCAUAAUAUUUGUAUAAUUUCCCUAAUAAUUUUUUUUUUAUGUUUGUUUGACCUUUCAAUUUUGUUGACAAGGUUAAACGUUGUACUAAACAACUAUUUUACUUCAUGCUCUUAUAGAAUAAAUGGAGAACAUAUGUAUAUUAUUCCAUUAAAUAAAUAAAUAAAAUAUAUGAUUGUCUAAUUGAA